This 260-nucleotide ribosomal RNA is filed under the name uncultured bacterium. RNAcentral's name for it is "partial 16S ribosomal RNA". It matches the Rfam family "Bacterial small subunit ribosomal RNA", at positions 524 to 783 of the family's 1533-position model. The record is from RNAcentral.
UACGAAGGGGGCUAGCGUUGCUCGGAAUCACUGGGCGUAAAGGGUGCGUAGGCGGGUCUUAAGUCAGGGGUGAAAUCCUGGGGCUCAACUCCAGAACUGCCUUUGAUACUGAGGAUCUUGAGUAUGGGAGAGGUGAGUGGAACUGCGAGUGUAGAGGUGAAAUUCGUAGAUAUUCGCAAGAACACCAGUGGCGAAGGCGGCUCACUGGCCCAUUACUGACGCUGAGGCACGAAAGCGUGGGGAGCAAACAGGGAUUAGAA